UGAGUGUGAGCGUAGAUGGUUGUUUGUCUGUGUGUGCCCUGCGAAUGGCUGCCAAUCGGUUCAGGGUGUUCCCCGCCUACUGCCCGAAGACACCUGGGAUGGGCUCCAGCACCCCCCGCGACCCUUGUGAGGAUAAGCGGAUUGGAUGGAUGGAUACAAACUAUGAGUUUUCCCUUCAGUAUUGGCAGGACGAUCAGUCAACACGUCUACAAAGAGGUCGUGUGGCAUUUGUUUUUUUCAGCACGCGAAAAGGGGCCAGAUUUGUAAGAGGACAACUCAUGGCUGCUUUACAAUGACAGUAUACAAACGCAGAAUGCCCUGAGCAUCCAACAGUUGCUGGCUGAGAAAACCAUCUCCUUGCGAGAGCAACCACCCUUCUCACCUUACCUGUUUUCUUUGUGUUUUCCUCUUUGCCAAGUUCACUGGUGUCUUCAAAGAGUUUUAAUACCUGGGGAACAUCAAGGUGGCCAUGCUGAUGGGGCGGUGGAAGAUCCUGAACAAAAAAUCUUCCAGGAAUGUAUGAAUAAGUCUGGAAUAGGACAUUAGGCUCUGGGGGAUGACUUUGACAUCUAAACCACAAACUACUCCUUCAAAUAUAUUUUUUGUGACACCAGUCCUGAAACGUUUCUAACGCACCUUGUACCUUGUACGUAAAAUCAACUGAACCUUAGCGAGCACUUGGCAACAGAGGCAAGGAAAAAGUGAGGUUUGGGUUAGGGGCUAGGGUAAGGGUUUAGUGCAGGGGACUAUGUGUGAGGAGUUAGAGGAUUAGGUUAGGGUUUAGGGUUGGGGGUUAGAGGGUUAGCAUUAGGGGUAAGCAUUAGGGUUAGGUUGGAGAGUUGGGGUUAGUUCAUGAUCUGACCGACGUGCUCAUCACUGGAAAUAAACAAUAGAUUGUCUUAAACAAGUACAAGAAAAAGUAAAAAAAAAAAAAAUCAGCAUACGUUUUAAAUGGUUAAUGGGAAAGAGGGAAGGCCAGUUCAUUGAGUUUUGCAGGAAAUUCUUAGGAGGGGCACUAACUGAAAGCAGUUCAAACAAGAUUAGAAGCUCUCUGAGUUUUUUAAAGAAGCAACUCAUUGGAAUGUGUUUAGUUGUACCCAAUAUGGCAAUCGAUAAUGUUGGUAAUGUAAGUGAGAUAUUCACCAGUGAGUACGUUCAAAACUCGACGGUCAUGUCAAGCUCCCAGCGUGCAAAUAGCCUUUUAAAAUGUUACAAGCAAAGUUAUGUCCGAUAUCAUCUUCAAAUAACUUCUUAAAUGUCUUCAUUCAUGAGUGAUGUAAUAAAUAAAACAAAGAGCUAACCCCCUCUAUGAAGCGAAUAUUAGUAUGAAAUGGAGACUUACCGGUAACUCCAUGACUCAUCAUUGCCCUUCUGCAAUGAAGCAUCACAGCAAUCCAAUUUCAUCAUAAAAGCCAAUUUAAAUGAAGCUAACCUUGCUAUUUUCACUCAUUGUCUAAAAAGCAUCCAGAUGAGGGGACAAUCACAUCACACAGCUUCUUCAGAAUGAAGAAACUGAAGUAGUUUUGCACCACUUCUCAAACAAGUUGCGUUCAAGCGGCACUGUAUUUGUUUUCAAGAUAUUUUCCAAGAUUUGCAUUGGUUAAUUUUGCAUUAAAUUAAAAUAACAGAUCAAGUCGGGAAAGAUAACUGAGUUCAUAUGUGAGAAUAAAAAAUAAUAAUUUGACGCGUUUUGGACUUACGAGGUUUCAGCCGGACAGUGAUGAUACACAAGGAGGCCUAUUAGAUAUAUCGAUUGAGUCUUGAAAAUGAAAAGGUCACCUCGCAUUACAUAACACAUUUUAUUAAAAACCUAGAUUUGGUCUAGUUGAGUGAUAUCAAGGGUACUUGUUAUCUUUUUAUUCCAGUGUUUUAUCAGCGGAAUAAUCGGUGUUAUUAGUAUUUUAGUCAGUUAACAAUCCCAGCUACCAAAUAAAAGCUAGUUAAUUAUUUUCGAAUCGCUGAGCUGUUAAAUAUGCAUAGAACAUCGCAUACCAGACAUAAAACAGUCAAUCGGAGACCAAAAAAAACAUUUAUGUAAACUGCAACUGAGGCAUGGUGGACAACUUCCACUGCUUCAUUUUGGAAAAUAGCUCCGAUGUUGCAGGUCAUAUGUUCUUGAUCACCCUCGAUUGUGAUUCAACUUGCAAACUUGUGACAUAAAAGCAGUUUAACGUUCGAAAGACAUGGUCAAUGAGGUAAAAUAGGUUCUUAUCUCAUUGUGUGAGCAAAAUAUACAUACAUGUCACUCAUACCGGAACAAAAAAAUGAGGACAUAAAUGUCAUCUAUGGUCCGUGAUUGAUACUCAUAGAGUCAUAUGCUAACAUGAAUGACAAUCUUGUGUGUGUGUAUAUAUAUAUAUAUAUAUAUAUAUAUAUAUAUAUAUAUAAAACAAGAACUUGAAAUGUUUCAGAAGGCAGAUACCACAGCAAAGUACGAUAGUGUCUAUGAAAGGAAGUGAUUGGGACACAUAAAAUGAAGAGAAUAUGUACAAAGGUCUUUAAAAAAGUCCAGGCUACUUGUUUUUAUUCUUUAUUUUCAUUCUUUUUCCGAACCGCUUAAUCCUCACUAGGGUCGCGGGGGGUGCUGGAGCCUAUCCCAGCCGUCUUCGGCCAGUAGGCGGGGGACACCCUGAACCGGUUGCCAGCCAAUCGCAGGGCACACAGAGACAAACAACCAUGCGCAGUCACACUCACACCUCUGGACAAUUUAGCGUGUUCAAUCAGCCUGCCAUGCAUGUUUUUGGAAUGUGGGGAGAAACUGGAGUACCCGGAGAAAACCCACGCAGGCCCGGGGAGAACAUGCAAACUCCACACAGGGAGGCCUGAGCUGGAAUUGAACCCGGUACCUCCGACACAGUAGGGCCGUUCACACGGCACACAUUUGCUCCGGUGCUUCACCGAGAUAUUUUGUUGCGGGAUAUUUUGCACCGUAGGAAAUUGUGUGGAGCGUUCACACGUACACUGCCGCUGAGCGGGGCAACCCCGGUACAGUGUCUGGGCUGCCCCACUUGCGUUCACACGGCAGUUUCUGCAGCGGAGCAAAACGACAGAAAACAAACGAGCUGUCGUGUUGGUUCUUUUUAAAAUGUACUGUAUAUACACAACUCAAGCGACUACUGGACCGGCACGUCCUUCUCCUUCUCGAUCUCCGUGCCUUCUGCUCGAGAGUGACCGCCCAAGAAAACGUAAAUGAACGAUGACUUCAAUGACACUCAGAAAAGCAAACACUAAUGCGCCAAACAGAAAAUCAGAGGAAAUCACAAAAUAAAUUCUAUGGGGGGCGGGGGGUUGUGAACAAACAACAAAGGAACAAACAACUCCGAGACAGUCCAGUCUCCUACAAAAGGAAAGAUGUUACUAGCCAAGUCUUGUGUCGUUAUGAAUCAACACAUUACGGAAGUCCGACAGAGCACGAAAGCAACGCAUUCUCGCCAUACGUACUCUUCACAAGCAUUUGCUCUGGAGCUAAUUUAACCCAGUUGCGUUCACACGUGCAAAUUUACACCGGUGCUGCUUCGCAAACGAGCAUUUGCUGCAGAGCAAAUAUUUGACCCACCUCCCUGAGGUGGGUCAAAUUUGGUCCGGUAUAAGCUCUUUUCCGGGGCUACGCCGGAGCUAAUUUGCACGUGUGAACGCUCUACUGGGGCAGCCCCGGUGCAGCACCGGACCAAAUCUUGCCGUGUGAAAGCCCUAGUGUCGGGGCUACCCCGCUCAGCGGCUUUGUACGUGUGAACGCUCCACACAAUUUGCUGCGGUGCAAAAUAUAUCGCAACAAAAUAUAUCGGUGCAGCGCCGGAGCAAAUGUGUGCCGUUUUGAACGGCCCUUAUGUAUGUCAUUAUCAUACAUGUGCAUGCGUGAGCACCCAAAUUAAUUUUGCAGAUAACAGGCAAUUGGAAGCAGACACAGAUCGGCAAAGCGUUGAUUGACGAAAAUGAGAAGGGCAGGUCAAGCCGAAUAAACCAGAAAACCAGACGAGGACGGACAAUAGAAAUACUUUCUCGGACAUGUAAAUAAACCUGAUCCCCCAAAAAAGCAAUUUUCAAUUUGAGCAUUCUAGCCAAUCGAAUAUGAUCCCAUGGUACGUUGCCAAACCAUCUUCUUAGAUUAAAACAACGAAAACAUCUGACAUUCAUGCAUCAGAGGUAGCAUGUACCAGAAUGUUCGGUUAAAUGUUUGCCAGAGAAACACAGUUUGCAUGCGGCCAGCACAAUUUGUUCCUGGAACUGUUCCUUAAGAGUGUUACGGAUCAUGUAAGUUGUCUCGGCUAGACUUUAUUGUCAGAAGUAGAAAACUGUUUGCAUUUGCACACAAGCGGUGGCACAAAUCUGCUUUGUUGAGGUCGGCUGGAGUUCAUAUAUUUUUCCAGUUCUUGACAGCGAGGGCUUGGAUUGAGAUUAAAUCUUGCAUAUAUGAUAUAUAUUUGGCAUAUAUUUUUUUUAAAACGUGUUUCGCAAUAGAGAGUGUACCAGGUCACCUUUUGGAAUUAAACAUCAGACAGUGGCCAGCAAAUAUAAAUGAGGCAAUGUUGAUAAAAUAUCAAGCUAGGAAAGCCUAAGGGGGUUCAGUUUUGUGAUUCCCUGAGAUUAAAACCAGAGGGAAAUGUGCUGAUUUACUUUGAGUCUAAGAAAGCAACUCACGGCCUGACUGAAAGUGCUGCUUUAGUCACCUUUAUUUCAGAUCGUCACUCAUAGAUAUUUAGCAGCCACUGAACACCUCAGCAUGCCGUAGGAAAGAGGGGCAAAGAGUAUGCAGCUCUAACACGAAGCCAAUCAAAUAGUUUGUUCAUGUGGAAAAAAACGAAAUAAUUUUAACAGCUCACAUGGGAUCUGAAACAAGAAUCAGUUUAUCUAUACAAUCCUCCAAAUAAGAACAGUCACUAAAACAAGUCAUCAAGACUAGCCUGAGCUCCAGUAUUGCUAAAGCAAAAAGCUAAACAUAAAAGCAUUCCAAAUAAUCAGGUUCAUGCAAGACAAGAAGUUGAACAAAGACUGAUUCAGUUGUUUCGACUUAUUCAUCCAGUCAUUUGAGCCAGAUAAAAGAAAAAAAUGACCCCCACAUUUGUGAAAUAAGGAGUUAUCAAGAUGACUUAACUGACUUGAGAUAUCUAAUAUGUCCCAACAUUUACGUCCUGGUAGCCAAGAUGCCUUAAAAUGGCCAAUAGAAAAAAAAAACUCGAAAUAUUAAUUGGGCACAUUCGCUUAUGUUCUGGGCCAACUGACUUUGUCGAUACAUGCUUCAAAUUUUGCGAAGGGUCCACUUUAAAUCAUGAUGGAUUCUUUGAACCUCAUUCGUGCGCUUGUUUGAAUAGCCGCCGAACGGAUGAUUUUUGCGUGAGAACUCAUAAUGCAUACCUGACUUUUAACACCUGAACAGCCUCACAAAACACACGGAACAAUGAUGAGCAAAGAGGGAACCACACCCUUACCGCACUGGUUGAUGAUGAACAUUUUACUUGUAUGGCUAUAUUGCCUCUUUUGUCCUCAUGUAAUUAGGGUCAGCAUAAUGGGAAUUGAUGGCACUUUGUUUUGUAUAGUCUUUAUUUAUUUGCUGGGUAACGAUAGAAACGCUUUGAAAAAAACCUCCGCUGACACUAUCGAUGUUAUGAAAAUGCCAAUCAGCAAAAUGUCGUGUGUUUUCUGACAAAACAGUUCAAUUUAAACACAACAAAUUCAAAUGUUUGUGGAAUCUGUUGUGACUUACGUAGUACAUUUAUAUAUUUAUGGCGAAUCAAAAGAC
Long non-coding RNA from Hippocampus zosterae (dwarf seahorse), 5737 nucleotides. RefSeq lists it as uncharacterized. The record is from RefSeq and is a predicted model, not a curated record. Lineage: Eukaryota; Metazoa; Chordata; Actinopteri; Syngnathiformes; Syngnathidae. The transcript has 2 exons.